This 464-nucleotide ribosomal RNA is filed under the name uncultured Verrucomicrobiota bacterium. RNAcentral describes it as "bacterial SSU rRNA". It matches the Rfam family "Bacterial small subunit ribosomal RNA", at positions 38 to 480 of the family's 1533-position model. The record is from RNAcentral. Lineage: Bacteria; Pseudomonadati; Verrucomicrobiota.
GGCGGCGUGGAUAAGACAUGCAAGUCGAGCGAGAUUUUUUCUUGUAGCAAUACAAGGAAAAGUCUAGCGGCGAACGGGUGCUUAACACGUGGGCAACCUGCCGUGAAGUGGGGGAUAGCUCGCCGAAAGGCGAAUUAAUACCGCAUGUGAUUAGAAAGGACAUCCUUUCGAAAUUAAAGUCGGGGCAACCUGACGCUUCUUGUGGGGCCCGCGGCCUAUCAGCUAGUUGGUGAGGUAACGGCUCACCAAGGCUUUGACGGGUAGCUGGUCUGAGAGGACGACCAGCCACACUGGGACUGAGACACGGCCCAGACACCUACGGGUGGCAGCAGUCGAGAAUUUUUGACAAUGGGGGAAACCCUGAUCGAGCGACGCCGCGUGGAGGAUGAAGGUCUUCGGAUUGUAAACUCCUGUCAUUGGGGAACAAGGUGCAUACGUUAACUGCGUGUGUAUUGAUAGUACUC